AUGCAGGCCAGCGGCGAACUUGGUGCUCCACUCUUUCUCUCCCUCACUUCCUCCUCACUCAUAUUUUACUUUGCUAAUAUUUGUAUUUUUAAACUUGAGGUGUGCAGAUCUGACAUAGAAGACCACGUUCCUCAGGGAUCCCAGAAUCUAUUAGACAAUAUGGUAGUCCAAUGCUUUUUUGAAGUAUAUAUUGGCACUAUGCUGAAAAAGGACAUGGCAGGAAGUGAAGACAGCCAGUCAUCGCGCCAUAUUCCCGUUUGCUAUCAAACUCUCAAAAAGGAAAAACAAUGUUACUCUGUUUUUUGGAGAACCUUCCUGUAG
This 321-nucleotide ribosomal RNA is filed under the name Triticum aestivum (bread wheat). Its description in RNAcentral is "partial small subunit ribosomal RNA". Lineage: Eukaryota; Viridiplantae; Streptophyta; Magnoliopsida; Poales; Poaceae. The record is from RNAcentral.